This 253-nucleotide ribosomal RNA is filed under the name uncultured bacterium. RNAcentral's name for it is "partial 16S ribosomal RNA". It matches the Rfam family "Bacterial small subunit ribosomal RNA", at positions 524 to 776 of the family's 1533-position model. The record is from RNAcentral.
UACGAAGGGGGCGAGCGUUGUUCGGAUUUACUGGGCGUAAAGGGCGCGCAGGCGGCGGACCAAGUCAGGCGUGAAAGCCCCGGGCUCAACCUGGGAACUGCGCCUGGGACUGGUUUGCUGGAGUUCGGGAGAGGAGCGUGGAAUUCCCAGUGUAGAGGUGAAAUUCGUAGAUAUUGGGAAGAACACCGGUGGCGAAGGCGGCGCUCUGGACCGAUACUGACGCUGAGGCGCGAAAGCGUGGGGAGCAAACAGG